Molecule: non-coding RNA, 260 nt
Organism: Pelobates cultripes (western spadefoot toad)
Lineage: Eukaryota; Metazoa; Chordata; Amphibia; Anura; Pelobatidae
Source: the annotation of a GenBank genome assembly
GGGGGAGGGAGACCGACUGUCUCUGCUCCCAAUACAGAGUCCUGCUGCUGGGGAAAGGAGACUGGGCUCUCUAUUCCCGGUAGGACACUCUGCCGCUGGGGAAUGGAGACUGGGCUCCCAAUUCCCAAAAAAUCACGCUGCCGCUGGGGAGGGAGGACACUGUUCUCCUCUCCCUGGACUUCACACUGCCUUCCCGGCAUAUCACUCUGCUGCUGGGGGGCAGGAACAGCUACCUCUGCCCCCUGUAACUCAGCCUGCCG